CCUUUGUACACACCGCCCGUCGCUACUACCGAUUGAAUGGCUCAGUGAGGCUUUGGGACCUACUAGAAGAGGUCGGCAACGACCACUUCCGGCGGGAAACUUAUCCAAACUCGGUCAUUUAGAGG
RNAcentral lists this ribosomal RNA (125 nucleotides) under Arthrinium sp. RNAcentral's name for it is "partial small subunit ribosomal RNA". It matches the Rfam family "Eukaryotic small subunit ribosomal RNA", at positions 1657 to 1779 of the family's 1831-position model. Lineage: Eukaryota; Fungi; Ascomycota; Sordariomycetes; Amphisphaeriales; Apiosporaceae. The record is from RNAcentral.